This is a long non-coding RNA of Oreochromis aureus, 341 nucleotides long. RefSeq lists it as uncharacterized. The record is from RefSeq and is a predicted model, not a curated record. The transcript has 3 exons. Lineage: Eukaryota; Metazoa; Chordata; Actinopteri; Cichliformes; Cichlidae.
UGUGGGGUGGACUGGCUUUGAUGUGCUGCUGGGGCAUUAAAGGGAAUGACUGCAGGGCAGGAACGGCAGAUUAGGACCUUGAAUAUUCAAAAAAGCACGAGAGAGAGAGAAGAGGAAAGAGGAAGAAUGAAACUGCUUGUUCGCUUGCGAGUGAGAAAAAGAGACAGAGACGGAGUCAGCCAGCUGCCCCCGCAAAUGACACGUGGUGAAACAUACAUUCUGUAUUUUCGCUGAGGGUUGUUGAGAAGCCAUCUGAUGACCCACAGAACUGCCAGGACCAGACGGUGGGCUAGUCCAUGACUUCAGAGGCAGCAGAGGAAAGGAAGACACUGGGGAUGCAG